This is a small nucleolar RNA of Acomys russatus (golden spiny mouse), 66 nucleotides long. RefSeq annotates it as small nucleolar RNA SNORD109A. Lineage: Eukaryota; Metazoa; Chordata; Mammalia; Rodentia; Muridae. The transcript has a single exon. The record is from RefSeq and is a predicted model, not a curated record.
GGAUUGAUGAUGUCAGUAACUGUCUUGGGAUGCUAAAUGACUCAUACAAAUAGAAAUCUGAUUUCU